RNAcentral lists this transfer RNA (65 nucleotides) under Pternistis swainsonii (Swainson's spurfowl). Its description in RNAcentral is "tRNA-Ser". The record is from RNAcentral. Lineage: Eukaryota; Metazoa; Chordata; Aves; Galliformes; Phasianidae.
GGGGGAAGACCAAACCCGCAAGAACUGCUAAUUCAUGCUUCCGAGCUUUAAACCUCGGCCCCCUU